This 84-nucleotide transfer RNA is filed under the name Algimonas ampicilliniresistens. RNAcentral's name for it is "tRNA-Leu". It matches the Rfam family "tRNA". From Rfam's summary of the family: Transfer RNA (tRNA) molecules are approximately 80 nucleotides in length. Their secondary structure includes four short double-helical elements and three loops (D, anti-codon, and T loops). Further hydrogen bonds mediate the characteristic L-shaped molecular structure. tRNAs have two regions of fundamental functional importance: the anti-codon, which is responsible for specific mRNA codon recognition, and the 3' end, to which the tRNAs corresponding amino acid is attached (by aminoacyl-tRNA synthetases). tRNAs cope with the degeneracy of the genetic code in two manners: having more than one tRNA (with a specific anti-codon) for a particular amino acid; and 'wobble' base-pairing, i.e. permitting non-standard base-pairing at the 3rd anti-codon position. The record is from RNAcentral. Lineage: Bacteria; Pseudomonadati; Pseudomonadota; Alphaproteobacteria; Maricaulales; Robiginitomaculaceae. RNAcentral also lists the same sequence under 1 other name.
GCCGGUGUGGUGGAAUUGGUAGACACGCGGGAUUCAAAAUCCCGUGUCCCUAGGACGUGUCGGUUCGAGUCCGACCACCGGUAC